Molecule: unclassified non-coding RNA, 398 nt
Filed under: Basidiomycota sp. MS-2015
Lineage: Eukaryota; Fungi; Basidiomycota
Description: sequence contains 18S rRNA gene, ITS1, 5.8S rRNA gene, ITS2, 28S rRNA gene
Rfam family: 5.8S ribosomal RNA (bases 48-200)
Source: RNAcentral
ACGAAACUCCGAANCCGAACGCACGCCGUCCAGCAAGAAAUCCACAAAACUUUCAACAACGGAUCUCUUGGUUCUCGCAUCGAUGAAGAGCGCAGNAAAAUGCGAUACCUAGUGUGAAUUGCAGCCAUCGUGAAUCAUCGAGUUCUUGAACGCACAUUGCGCCCGCUGNGAUUCCGNNNGANAUGCCUGUCUGAGCGUCGNUUCCUUCUUGGAGCGGCGCUUUGACCUGGCGGGCUGUCUUUCGGGACGGNGCGCUCAAAGUCAGGGCCUUUCUGUUUUAACUAGACUGGGGGGGGGGGUUGGAUUAUGAANUUAUUNCCAAGCUCGACCUCAGAUCAGUGAGAUACACCCGCUGACCUUAUGAAAAUCACUANNUGNAGCAANGUAAUAAUUAUUUC